Molecule: long non-coding RNA, 602 nt
Organism: Aedes albopictus (Asian tiger mosquito)
Lineage: Eukaryota; Metazoa; Arthropoda; Insecta; Diptera; Culicidae
Exons: 2
Source: RefSeq, a predicted model, not a curated record
GUUGAUUAAAUUUUGACCAAACAUCGCCGGUGGUGGGUAAUCUAAACGGUGUUGCGGAAUUCCGGUCCCGGAAUCGGAAGUUGUCGACCAAAAGCUUGAAUCAAAUUCAACUCACUCGGAAGCAAGUGCAUCGCCUUGUCCAGCAGGAUGCGUCGCCAAAACUCAAAACUAAACGGAACACCCAAGGAAACCACGUCGCAAAAGCAAUCGAGCGAAGAAGGAAAAAAACAUCGAUCAGCUCUAGUCACCAUUGUCGAGCGUGCCGUGCUGGAUGAUAUUCCUGCGGAAGAUCCGAAGGAAGAGAAAUCGAUGGGUUAGAAGUCAUUGAGUCAAGCGGUGACGAGAUCUGGCCAGGACAAGGCAAUGAUGUUUCCAGUGAGAUGAAGCGAAAGCGUACGUUGAUCUAGCCCCUGAAGAAAGCGGUAGAAAUGUGGAAGUGGGCGGAAUCGAGUGACUCGAUGAACAGUGAGAUUCUAGCGGAAAUUGAUUGGUAGAGGAAGCCGAAAAAACAAAAAGAAUAAGAAAAGAAGAUAGAUUUUCCGACAGGACGCUUCUAGUGAGAAACGAAACAUAAAAUUAGUUUUAUUAAAAUUUUAUUAACA